This 74-nucleotide transfer RNA is filed under the name Sphaerodactylus townsendi. Its description in RNAcentral is "tRNA-Thr". The stretch from base 4 to 59 matches the Rfam family "tRNA". Rfam says of the family: Transfer RNA (tRNA) molecules are approximately 80 nucleotides in length. Their secondary structure includes four short double-helical elements and three loops (D, anti-codon, and T loops). The record is from RNAcentral. Lineage: Eukaryota; Metazoa; Chordata; Lepidosauria; Squamata; Sphaerodactylidae.
GGAGGAACUGUGGCUCAGUGGUAGAGCAUCUGCUUGGUGAGCAGAAGGUCCCAGGUUCGAUCACCACAUCUCCA